RNAcentral lists this ribosomal RNA (254 nucleotides) under uncultured bacterium. RNAcentral's name for it is "partial 16S ribosomal RNA". It matches the Rfam family "Bacterial small subunit ribosomal RNA", at positions 524 to 776 of the family's 1533-position model. The record is from RNAcentral.
UACGUAGGGUGCGAGCGUUAAUCGGAAUUACUGGGCGUAAAGCGUGCGCAGGCGGUUGUGCAAGACAGAUGUGAAAUCUCCCGGCUCAACUGGGAGGGUGCGCUAGAAACUGGAAGGCUUGGAGUGUGGGAGAGGUAGGCGGAAUUCCUGGUGUAGCGGUGAAAUGCGUAGAUAUCAGGAGGAACACCUGUGGUGUAGACGGCUUACUGGACCAUGACUGACGCUGAGGCACGAAAGCGUGGGGAGCAAACAGG